UGCCUUGCAACUAAUGGGCA
This 20-nucleotide non-coding RNA is filed under the name Arabidopsis thaliana (thale cress). Lineage: Eukaryota; Viridiplantae; Streptophyta; Magnoliopsida; Brassicales; Brassicaceae. The record is from RNAcentral.